UCCUAAAACUAGCAGUCAGAUCUUGGACGAGCUUCAGAAAUCUGUCUCAUGAUUUGAGGAAAUGAAGUCCACCACUUCGGAUAUCCUAAAUUUGACACGUCUGUAAAUGUGGCCGUGAAUGUUGACGUAGCGUGGCAUGUGUGUUUUCAGCUGUCCUCCACACCCCCCGUCCGCAGAGCUGCUUCCUGUGUGGAGGGCGAGGGGGGCUGCCAGUGUUUAUGCCCUGCUGAGGCUGCGGUGUAUUUGUUUGCUCCAGGAUCCCGCAGAGCAUUUGCUCACUCCUUGAACAAUAAACAUUGGUGAUUGCUGACGAAGGCCCUGGUCCCAGCUUCUCCGAACUCCGGAGAUUUAGAGGUGCCCAGCGGUCUACCGAUGUAUCCCUGCCCAUGGCACAGAGACAAAGGCCUUUAUUAACCCCCCAGAGCCACGUGGAGAAUGUUUAAUGAUGGAUGGACACACUUUUUUGGGCUUCAAAAUCUUGACAACUAUCCACUGCCAUUAUAAAGCUUAGAAGAGCUCUGACUGUAUUCAUCCGAAAGAAGAAAGUCAUAUACACAGAGGAUGGCUUCAGGAUCUCCGCCAGAUCUCCAGCGGUUGAACUCUUGUGUGAAGUGCACAGCACAGUGACGGAUGGCACUCGCCACAGAAUGAGGCAAGGUUAAAAAUACGGAAAUGUGGACGGUUCCUCGGCAAGCAGCCCGUCCACCAGCUGCUCUCUCAGCCCAUCAAUGUCUCCAAACCUCAGCCCCAGACCCUGCCACGAACUCCAGCUUCAACCCAGAGACACUCCCCGACCAGCCAGUGUUAUUCACAACAACGUUUCCAUCCAUCUCACCAUCAAAAAUGACUGAAAGCAGAAAAACCGAGGGGAACAUUACAGCAGUCUGUCCUUACAGCACAAGAAACUCAUACGACUAGAAGACAAAGAACAAGUGUUCAAGAAGUACAUAAAUCAUAUCUCCAGGAACUCAAAAUCCUGACGUGUUUUGGUCUAUUCGUGUUUCAAUGAUUAUUAGAUAAAUUGUUAAAUUGAGUAAAAAUACAGUUUAUAGGGAUCAGGGUCAUGAAACUGUUUAUUAGAAACAGCUAUUUUGUUCACAUAUUUGGGGACUAAUUCUCACUUUUGCCUCAGUAAACUCCUAAUUUGCUGCGUAUUCAUAGAUAUUAAGGUAGUCGUUAAAUUUGGGUAUGGAAUGGAUUAAGGGAUCUUAAAUAUUAUUAUGCCGCAUAAUCCAUUAGUAUGUGCUUUAUAAAUACUAAUAAAAAGCCAAUAUGCAUGUUGAUAAACAACUGGUGAGAUAGUUUUUUUAAAUUAAUAUUUAUAAGUUUUAAUUUAAAAAUGUAAAAAUAUGUCACUUUCAUUCAUUUUGAUUAAAAUGUUAGGUUUAGUAAAAGUGAAGUCAAACUGAA
This is a long non-coding RNA of Carassius auratus (goldfish), 1410 nucleotides long. RefSeq lists it as uncharacterized. The transcript is spliced from 3 exons. Lineage: Eukaryota; Metazoa; Chordata; Actinopteri; Cypriniformes; Cyprinidae. The record is from RefSeq and is a predicted model, not a curated record.